This is a long non-coding RNA of Aquila chrysaetos chrysaetos, 1306 nucleotides long. RefSeq lists it as uncharacterized. The record is from RefSeq and is a predicted model, not a curated record. The transcript is spliced from 3 exons. Lineage: Eukaryota; Metazoa; Chordata; Aves; Accipitriformes; Accipitridae.
ACUUCAGAUAUAAACAGCACGAACAGAUGAACUGUUCAAAAGCAAAAUUUCUGUUGGUAAUUGCUUUUAGCAAUUCAAAAAAAGGAGAAGAAAAUUACAUGACACACUUGCCAAGGUGUCUGCAAGCAGAAUGUUUGUCUCCGGCAUUACCAGCCAAAGUUGUGUAGAUGCUUCAUUAAAAAUGUAGAAAAAGCAAUAUAAAUAUUUUGUAUAUGAAACCACAGCUAAUAUUAAAGAGUUUAACUGUUAUUGCACAGCUCACUGCUAGGGGUAAUCAGCUAGACUUUCUCCUCACGGCUGAGCACUCCAAGUAGGGCCCCCAGCCCCCUGCUCAAUACAGACGUGCUCUGAGGUAGAGCAGGCAGGACACGAGUCACCCCUUUCCCUAUACCCUGCUACCAGUGGUAAGCUCUUUGAGGUCACUUGAGCUAAAUUAUGUAUCCUCUUGUGUACAGGAAAAGGAAGGAUGCUGAUGCCCAGUUCAGAAGCAUCAAAUCCAACUGAAAGCCGUGGGAGUUCAGGGGCUGGGCUCAGCGGAGGGUUUUGAAGAGCCUCCUUUGAGGUGUAAAAGGGUAUUUAUCCAGAAUUAUGUGCCUAUGGGAUGAAAGAGGGUUCAGAAAGAUCCUGUACAGCUCUCAACAUGCCUAAACUCAUCAGCAUUUAUCUUUUGGCCUGCACCCUCCUGGCGCUGUCAGCUCUCUUCACUGACCGCUGCAAGGGCAAAUAACGUGCUUUCUGCUGACGCCCUGCUAGGGCCAGGGGUUUAGCGUUUCUGUCCGGAUCUUGUCCCGUGCAAUUUGUCUUUGGUAACGCAGAUAAAGCAGGAAACUGUAUCCAGAAAUACAGCAGCUAGUGAUUUGGGGAUUCUCCAUUUUGAGUCCUGAAAGUCAGUAAUCAGUGAUCACAAGGGAGAAGAAAGCUCGGCUCUUUCCACAGGAAAGUGGCAGUCCUUAGCAGUCCACCACUUAUGCAGUCCUCUAGACAAACUAAACUGGAAGGGGGGCAGGGAGAGUGUUCCCUGUUUCAAAGGAUUUUCUAUUUUCUCAUCUCCUUCUUUCCUUUCUAUUGUUCUGCCUGAUUUUCGCUGUUCUCUGUAAUGGCAUUUCCUUAAGGUCAAUCUAUUGUUAUUUAGGAGUGUGAUAGAGGUAAGUCAGGCUGAGUCAUGCAAUAUUUGCCAACUCCACACCUUUCAGCAUUCUGCUGCAGAGAAUGGAGAUUUGCCCUUGCUGUCAUUGCUCAACAUUUUCCUCCCUUCCUGACAUAUUACAGGUGCCAGGGAUGCAGCUUUCAGGGCUAACCACAGAUG